GUGCAGUUGACCACAUUUUAAUAUCGAACUGAAAAAGCUCUUAUGCAAUCCAUAUUUUUAAAAUAAGAUAUAUUUUCGCAGGCUGCUGUCACACGACAAAGAACAGAAUGUGGUCCUGAACCAUUUCAUCAAUCUUAGUGUAGGGCAGACACCUAGCCUACAUUUUGCCAAAUUAAACUGGCUGGUUGAUACAACCUCGUAUUGGCUACAAUGAGCUGUAAGUGUCAGAGACAACCAGCUACAUGAAGCCCGAAAUGCAAAAAAAAUUACUAGCGAGCAGUCGAGAACUUGGCUAGCCAGCUCAGCUAACGUUAGCCAAAUUAGUAGCAAACGUUAGCAAGCUAGGUUUAGUUAGCUAGUUAUGACGUUUCUCGUAGCAGAGUACUAAGACGGAUUUUAAAAAUAGCGAACAUGGUAACACAAUGCUAACUAAAGCAAGUAAAUUAUCUUGAUUGAAUAAAGUAUAUUACCUUGACGAAGGGAGGACAUGUCUAUGUUGUUCAGGUCCUUUCACGUCAGACUCCACAUCCAAACGACACAUCGAGGCAGUUCGAAUUCCGCUUUUCCUUCUCACCGACGACUUAUCGUAGGAUACAAUAACCCUUUAAACCAUAUCGUUGUUCUUUAUUAGUUAGCUAGUUCUUCCAGUCAGUUCACAUUUAACAGUAAAUUGUUGUCCACGGCAAAGUAAGAAACGUGUGAGACCACCUAGGGACUAUUCAACGCUAGCUAGCUGCAUACCGCUCAAUGAAUCAGCUAGCGGAGACAAGAAUACAGUUAUAGCUAGCAAAAAAACAUAUACUGUUAGCUACAUUAUGCUAACAGGCCUUUGAAAUUACAACAAUCUUAAGACUUUGAAAGUCGAAAAGUGAAAGUCUGGACAUUCCUGGCCAAAACUCCUCUAUGGCAGACAUCAAAUUAACUGAAGAACUACCUCCAGUACCGUUCAACACUCUGGUUACAUUGAAGUUGUAACCUACCCGAAGGGAAUCAGUUUUGCCGCUCUGACUCUGUUUCCUGUCUCCUGUUCCACAUCUCACCACCCUGCUACCCUGUUCUGGAUUCAGCUCACCACCACUCCCUUGGAUUCCCCUCCGGACCUGUUUACCCUGUCCCAACCGAGCUCACUCCAAUCUCAUUCUCCACAUCUGGUUUCCUACAACUCAUCUGAGCUUCCCCGGGUCUGCACUCCGUCUCUCCCUGUGUUACAAUAAAUACCUUGGUUCAUUCAUCCCUGUUUCCUUGUCUGAAUCUGCUCGUGGGUUCCCCUGUGCUGCUCCGCCUAACAACGUUGGCUGCAUACUAUCGUUGACAGUGACUGCUCAGAGUUGGAGGCCGAAUCAAGCAAUCUAAAUUAGGAACAAACAAUGUCAACCCCAUCAAAAUUCCAGGUCGCCACCACCUGACAACCUUGCUUGUGCAUCACCACCAUGAGGCUGUGAAGCAUCAAGGGAGACAUUUCACAUAGGGUACCAUUCGAGCAGAUGGACUCUGGUUGGUUGGAGCUAACAAGCUGACCAGACCGAAUGAGUGCGAGCCUCCGCCAUCGUGCGCAAGGUGAUUUAAAAACAAAAAUUAUUUGUCCCCCCCACACCAGACGCAAUCAGGACACGCAGGUUGAAAUAUCAAAACAAACUCUGAACCAACUAUAUUCAUUUGUGGACAGGUCGAAAAGCAUUAAACAUUUAUGGCAAUUUAGCUAGCUAGCUUGCUGUUGCUAGCUAAUUUGUUCUGGGAUAUAAACAUUGGGUUGUUAUUUUACCUGAAAUGCACAAGGUCCUCUACUCCGACAAUUAAUCCACAGAUAAAAGGGUAAAAGUUUGUUUUCUAGUAAUCUCUCCUCCUUCAGGCUUCUUCUUCUUUGGACUUUAUAUGGCGGUUGGCAACCAACUUUAAGGUGCAUUACCACAACCGACUGGACUGGAGUGUUGGCCUCAGUUCACCUUUCAAUCACCCACAUGGGUAUAUGCUCCUAUAAACCAAUGAGGAGAUGGGAGAGGCAGGACUUGCAGCGCGUCGAGCAUCACAAAUAGAACCAGGUUCUAUUUUAGCGGCUGGCCAAGCAGACGCUCGUUGACACGUGCGAGCAAUGUGGAUGCAAUGAUUGAAUAACAUGUAUGUGUACAUUUAUUUUGCAACACUUGCGGUCUGGUCAGCAUGUAAGGGAUGUGGUGCAGUCUUCAAGUGUGUCACGUGCAAUAAGCUCCAUGGGAAGAGGAAACUCCAGCAGAUGGCAGAACUGCCAGCUGAGUGGCUACAGGUAGCACCACUUUUCACUUACGUAGGUGUGGACGUUUUCGGCUCUUGUGCAUAUGGGAGGUGGUCUCACGCUGCACCAGAGGAGGACACGCCAAUAGCAAAAGGUGGGCGGUGAUGUUCUCAAGAGCUGAACACAUAGAAGUAAUUUAAUCACUAAGUGCUUCCAGCUUUAUAAACGCCCUGAGAAGAUUCUACUCAGAGGGAUAGCAAAGCAGAUACAUUCAGAUUGCGGAACAAACUUUGUUGGUGCUUGCUGAGACCUGAGGAUGGAUGGAUCAAGGUCCAAUUCAGAGAGCAAGUAGAGGUAUCUCCAAGAACAGAAAUGUACCUGGGUAUUCAACCCACCUCACUCAUCCCAAAUGGGUCGUGCAUGGGAGUGGGUGAUUGGCAUUGCACGUCGUAUCCUUGACUGCAUGCUCCUCAAAGGUGGAUCUUCACACCUUACACAGUCCUGACAACACUGAUUACCAAGGUCACUGCUGUGAUGAAUGCCAGGCAUCUCAUCCCAGUAUCUUCAGACCCAGAAUCACCCCUCAUCCUCACUCCAGCUAUGCUCUUGACCCAGAAGACUGGCAUCCCCCCUCCUCCACCAGCCAAGUUUGGGGAAGUAGGACUCUACAAGCAAGAGUGGAAGCAGGUACAAAGUCUAGCGGACACCUUUUGGAACAGGUGGCGGGAGGAGUAUCUCUGUAUGCUGCACAGCCGAUGCAAGUGGCAGGACAAGAGGCCAGAUCUUAAAGAAGGGGAUGUUGUCUUAAUGAAGGACAGUCAGGAUAAAAUAAAUGAAUGGCCUAUGGCCAUCAGUGUGAAGACCCUUCCCAGCUGGGACGGGAUGGUGAGGAAAGUCAACGUGAGAGUUGUCAAGGAGGGAACUACUUCUCUCGGCCUAUCUCCGAAGUGGUUUUUCUUCUUUCUUCAGAAGACCUCAGUGGUCAGAGUUAGGUUUAUGUAGGAUUGUUAAAGACCCCAGGCAGGGAGUGUUUUGGACCUGUUAGUUGUUUAGCACCCCCUAGUGUCAGUUUAAGUGCAGCAGUGUAGAAUUUACCUGUUUGUGUCAUGUGACAGGAAGCAGUUUCCGAAGUCAAGCAAUGUGUAAGAUGUGCAAGUGUGACAGAGUAGUUACAGUCCUACUUUAUAAGCUUUGUAAGACGCAAUGUCUAAGUACAUUUGUUUAUUAGCACAAGAUAAAAGUUUGUCACAAUUUUCAUGUUUCUGUAAAAGUUGAAGAAUUGAGUUAGCUGUUAACAACUUUGCAUUAGCUUCAGUGCUAUUUCUCCCUAGGGACACCUAGCGUAGCAAUAUCAAGAAUACAGUUGCAU
Molecule: long non-coding RNA, 3578 nt
Filed under: Salmo salar (Atlantic salmon)
Lineage: Eukaryota; Metazoa; Chordata; Actinopteri; Salmoniformes; Salmonidae
Description: lncRNA (ENSSSAG00000114004.1)
Source: RNAcentral